GACGAACGCUGGCGGCGUGCCUAAUACAUGCAAGUCGAACGCAUUUUCUUUCACCGUAGCUUGCUACACCGAAAGAAAAUGAGUGGCGAACGGGUGAGUAACACGUGGGUAACCUGCCCAUCAGCGGGGGAUAACACUUGGAAACAGGUGCUAAUACCGCAUAAUUCCAUUUACCGCAUGGUAAAUGGGUGAAAGGCGCUUUUGCGUCACUGAUGGAUGGACCCGCGGUGCAUUAGCUAGUUGGUGGGGUAACGGCCUACCAAGGCUGCGAUGCAUAGCCGACCUGAGAGGGUGAUCGGCCACACUGGGACUGAGACACGGCCCAGACUCCUACGGGAGGCAGCAGUAGGGAAUCUUCGGCAAUGGACGCAAGUCUGACCGAGCAACGCCGCGUGAUUGAAGAAGGUUUUCGGAUCGUAAAACUCUGUUGUUAGAGGAGAACAAGGAUGAGAGUGGAAAGUUCAUCCCUUGACGGUAUCUAACCAGAAAGCCACGGCUAACUACGUG
This 507-nucleotide ribosomal RNA is filed under the name uncultured bacterium. Its description in RNAcentral is "partial 16S ribosomal RNA". It matches the Rfam family "Bacterial small subunit ribosomal RNA", at positions 28 to 507 of the family's 1533-position model. The record is from RNAcentral.